AUUGAACGCUGGCGGCAGGCCUAACACAUGCAAGUCGAGCGGAGCGGCGGACGGGUGAGUAAUGCCUAGGAAUCUGCCUGGUAGUGGGGGAUAACGUCCGGAAACGGGCGCUAAUACCGCAUAUUAUUCGAGCGGCCGAUGUCUGAUUAGCUGGUUGGCGGGGUAAAGGCCCACCAAGGCGACGAUCAGUAGCGGGUCUGAGAGGAUGACCAGCCACACCGGGACUGAGACACGGCCCGGACUCCUACGGGAGGCAGCAGUGGGGAAUAUUGCGCAAUGGGGGCAACCCUGACGCAGCCAUGCCGCGUGAAUGAAGAAGGCCUUCGGGUUGUAAAGUUCUUUCGGUGACGAGGCGUUAAUCACAGAAGAAGCACCGGCUAACUCCGUGCCAGCAGCCGCGGUAAUAC
This 407-nucleotide ribosomal RNA is filed under the name uncultured bacterium. RNAcentral's name for it is "partial 16S ribosomal RNA". It matches the Rfam family "Bacterial small subunit ribosomal RNA", at positions 29 to 526 of the family's 1533-position model. The record is from RNAcentral.